UUCUGCUCCCUGCCCUGUAG
RNAcentral lists this microRNA (20 nucleotides) under Bos taurus (domestic cattle). RNAcentral describes it as "bta-miR-12046". The record is from miRBase by way of RNAcentral. Lineage: Eukaryota; Metazoa; Chordata; Mammalia; Artiodactyla; Bovidae.